This 468-nucleotide ribosomal RNA is filed under the name uncultured bacterium. RNAcentral's name for it is "partial 16S ribosomal RNA". It matches the Rfam family "Bacterial small subunit ribosomal RNA", at positions 28 to 507 of the family's 1533-position model. The record is from RNAcentral.
GACGAACGCUGGCGGCGUGCUUAACACAUGCAAGUCGAACGGAAAGGCCCUGCUUUUGUGGGGUGCUCGAGUGGCGAACGGGUGAGUAACACGUGAGUAACCUGCCCUUGACUUUGGGAUAACUUCAGGAAACUGGGGCUAAUACCGGAUAGGAGCUCCUGCUGCAUGGUGGGGGUGGAAAGGUUUCGGCGGUUGGGGAUGGACUCGCGGCUUAUCAGCUUGUGGGUGGGGUAGUGGCUUACCAAGGCUUUGACGGGUAGCCGGCCUGAGAGGGUGACCGGCCACAUUGGGACUGAGAUACGGCCCAGACUCCUACGGGAGGCAGCAGUGGGGAAUAUUGCACAAUGGGCGGAAGCCUGAUGCAGCAACGCCGCGUGCGGGAUGACGGCCUUCGGGUUGUAAACCGCUUUCGCCUGUGACGAAGCGUGAGUGACGGUAAUGGGUAAAGAAGCACCGGCUAACUACGUG